Molecule: RNA transcript, 1972 nt
Organism: Sceloporus undulatus (fence lizard)
Lineage: Eukaryota; Metazoa; Chordata; Lepidosauria; Squamata; Phrynosomatidae
Gene: METTL3
Gene name: methyltransferase 3, N6-adenosine-methyltransferase complex catalytic subunit
Exons: 11
Source: RefSeq, a predicted model, not a curated record
UGUGUGUUUUUGUUACCAGAGCUGUUGGUUGCGACGAUGUCGGACACAUGGAGCUCCAUCCAGGCUCACAAGAAGCAGCUGGACUCGCUGAGGGAGCGGCUGCAGCGGAGGAGGAAGCAGGAACCCUUGGACCUAAGGAACCCGGAGCUGGCCCUCAGUCCUCCCUUCCGCAGUGACAGCCCAGUGCCUUCAUCUGUCACACCUAGCACUGCCACUGAGCCGGGGGAUCUGGUGACAGACCCUGAGCUUGAGAAGAAGCUCCUGCAACACCUUUCGGACCUGGGACUGGCCCUCCCCACAGAUGCUUUGUCCAUCUGCCAUGCCAUUUCAACGCCAGAGACCCCUGUCACCCAGAGAAGCGUGGAGAGCCUGCUGCAGAAGUUUGCUGCCCAGGAGCUGAUUGAGGUGAAACGAGGCCUCCUCCUAGAAGAUGACCAACCCAUGCUGGUCACCUAUGCUGACCACUCUAAGCUCUCUGCCAUGAUGGGUGCUGUGGCUGAGAAGAAGGGAACAGCGGAAAGUGUUGGGGCUGGAGGGGUGAAGAGGAGAGCAGAGCAAGACAUUGGGGUUUCCACAUCCACGCCGGGGGCCUCUCCUUCUGCUUCAGCACUGUCAGAGCCACUCCGAGAGCCUCCCAAAAAGUCGCGCAAGCAGGCUUCAGAUUUGGACCUGGAGAUUGAGAGUUUGCUAAGCCAGCAGUCCACAAAGGAGCAGCAGAGUAAGAAGGUGAGCCAGGAGAUCCUGGAGCUGCUGAACACAACCACGGCCAAGGAGCAGUCCAUUGUGGAGAAGUUCCGCUCACGGGGCCGGGCCCAAGUGCAAGAGUUCUGUGACUACGGAACCAAGGAGGAGUGCAUGAAGGCCAAUGAUGCUGAGCGGCCCUGUAGGAAGCUGCACUUCCGCCGCAUCAUUAACAAGCACACAGAUGAGUCAUUGGGGGACUGUUCCUUCCUGAACACUUGCUUCCACAUGGAUACCUGCAAAUAUGUGCACUAUGAAAUUGACGCCUGCACUGACUUGGAUGCCUCUGGUGGGCGAGAACUGAGCUCCUGCCAAGAGCUGGCCUUGCCCCAGGCAGUGGGGAGAGACUCCAGUGUAGACCGUCUCUUUCCCCCACAGUGGAUUUGCUGUGACAUUCGCUACCUAGACGUCAGUAUCUUGGGCAAGUUUGCUGUGGUGAUGGCUGACCCUCCCUGGGACAUUCACAUGGAGCUGCCCUAUGGGACGCUCACAGAUGACGAGAUGAGGAGGCUCAACAUCCCUGUAUUGCAGGAUGAAGGCUUCCUCUUUCUAUGGGUCACCGGCCGAGCCAUGGAACUGGGUCGAGAGUGUCUCAACCUCUGGGGGUACGAACGAGUAGAUGAAAUCAUCUGGGUGAAAACAAACCAGCUCCAGCGUAUUAUCCGAACAGGACGCACAGGCCACUGGCUGAACCAUGGCAAGGAACACUGCUUGGUAAUUCAGGGGAAGCUGGGUGAUGAUUCCCACCCACCCCUUAAAAAGUUGGAGUUAAAGGAAACCCCCAGGGCUUCAACCGUGGUCUUGACUGUGAUGUCAUUGUGGCUGAGGUUCGCUCCACUAGCCACAAGCCAGAUGAGAUCUAUGGCAUGAUCGAACGGCUUUCGCCAGGGACCCGAAAGAUAGAACUCUUUGGAAGACCGCACAAUGUACAGCCCAACUGGAUCACCCUUGGCAACCAGCUUGAUGGAAUCCAUUUGCUAGACCCAGAUGUGGUGGCCCAGUUCAAACAGCGUUAUCCAGAUGGGAUCAUCUCAAAGCCAAAGAACAUGUAGCUGGAGGAAGGAGGCUGAGAAGACCUCAGGGCUGUGGACCAAGGAUGUUUUUGUUUUGUGGAAAGGAGGCGGGUGAAAAGGAGAACGUAAAGGACAGUGUAUUCUAAUAUUUAGGUUUUUUAAUAAAAUGGAUUCUUUUCUUCCAUAGCUGAGACUUAGGAAGAAACAGGAGCAAGAUG